Molecule: ribosomal RNA, 425 nt
Filed under: Corynebacterium amycolatum
Lineage: Bacteria; Bacillati; Actinomycetota; Actinomycetes; Mycobacteriales; Corynebacteriaceae
Description: bacterial SSU rRNA
Rfam family: Bacterial small subunit ribosomal RNA
Source: RNAcentral
AGUGGGGAAUAUUGCACAAUGGGCGCAAGCCUGAUGCAGCAACGCCGCGUGAGGGACGAAGGCCUUCGGGUUGUAAACCUCUUUUAGCAGGGAAGAAGCGAAAGUGACGGUACCUGCAGAAAAAGCACCGGCUAACUACGUGCCAGCAGCCGCGGUAAUACGUAGGGUGCAAGCGUUGUCCGGAAUUAUUGGGCGUAAAGAGCUCGUAGGCGGUUUGUCACGUCUGCUGUGAAAUUUCGAGGCUCAACCUCGAACUUGCAGUGGGUACGGGCAGGCUAGAGUGCGGUAGGGGAGAUGGGAAUUCCUGGUGUAGCGGUGGAAUGCGCAGAUAUCAGGAGGAACACCAAUGGCGAAGGCACAUCUCUGGGCCGUAACUGACGCUGAGGAGCGAAAGCGUGGGGAGCAAACAGGAUUAGAUACCCGGG